CGCGGCCUAUCAGCUUGUUGGUGGGGUAAUGGCCUACCAAGGCUUCGACGGGUAGCUGGUCUGAGAGGACGAUCAGCCACACUGGGACUGAGACACGGCCCAGACUCCUACGGGAGGCAGCAGUGGGGAAUCUUGCGCAAUGGGCGAAAGCCUGACGCAGCAACGCCGCGUGGGGGAUGAAGGCUCUCGGGUUGUAAACCCCUUUCAGCAGGGACGAAAUUGACGGUACCUGUAGAAGAAGCCCCGGCCAACUACGUGCCAGCAGCCGCGGUAACACGUAGGGGGCGAGCGUUGUCCGGAAUUAUUGGGCGUAAAGGGCUCGUAGGCGGUUCGGUAAGUCAGAUGUGAAAGGUUGGGGCUCAACCCUAAGACUGCAUUUGAUACUGCCGUGACUAGAGUCCGGUAGAGGAGUGUGGAAUUCCUGGUGUAGCGGUGAAAUGCGCAGAUAUCAGGAGGAACACCGACGGCGAAGGCAGCACUCUGGGCCGGUACUGACGCUGAGGAGCGAAAGCGUGGGUAGCAAACAGGAUUAGAUACCCUGGUAGUCCACGCCGUAAACGUUGGGCACUAGGUGUGGGACCUUAUCAACGGGUUCCGUGCCGUAGCUAACGCAUUAAGUGCCCCGCCUGGGGAGUACGG
RNAcentral lists this ribosomal RNA (639 nucleotides) under uncultured bacterium. RNAcentral's name for it is "bacterial SSU rRNA". It matches the Rfam family "Bacterial small subunit ribosomal RNA", at positions 232 to 885 of the family's 1533-position model. The record is from RNAcentral.